This 48-nucleotide ribosomal RNA is filed under the name Alternaria tenuissima. RNAcentral describes it as "partial 18S ribosomal RNA". It matches the Rfam family "Eukaryotic small subunit ribosomal RNA", at positions 1784 to 1831 of the family's 1831-position model. Lineage: Eukaryota; Fungi; Ascomycota; Dothideomycetes; Pleosporales; Pleosporaceae. The record is from RNAcentral. RNAcentral also lists the same sequence under 1 other name.
UAAAGUCGUAACAAGGUCUCCGUAGGUGAACCUGCGGAGGGAUCAUUA